GUGGGGAAUAUUCCGCAAUGGACGAAAGUCUGACGGAGCAACGCCGCGUGAGUGAUGAAGGUUUUCGGACUGUAAAGCUCUGUUGUUUAGGACGAAAGUGCCUGUUGCAAAUAGUUACAGGUAUUGACGGUACUGAACGAGGAAGCCACGGCUAACUACGUGCCAGCAGCCGCGGUAAUACGUAGGUGGCAAGCGUUGUCCGGAAUUAUUGGGCGUAAAGAGCAUGUAGGCGGGAAUCUAAGUCUGUUGUGAAAAUGCGGGGCUCAACCCCGUAUUGCGAUGGAAACUGGGUUGCUUGAGUGCAGGAGAGGAAAGGGGAAUUCCCAGUGUAGCGGUGAAAUGCGUAGAUAUUGGGAGGAACACCAGUGGCGAAGGCGCCUUUCUGGACUGUGUCUGACGCUGAGAUGCGAAAGCCAGGGUAGCGAACGGGAUUAGAAACCCCUGUAGUCC
RNAcentral lists this ribosomal RNA (450 nucleotides) under uncultured bacterium. Its description in RNAcentral is "partial 16S ribosomal RNA". It matches the Rfam family "Bacterial small subunit ribosomal RNA", at positions 354 to 796 of the family's 1533-position model. The record is from RNAcentral.